GGCGGAAGUGGCUGGAACCUGGUGGUGAUGCUGCUGUUGCUGAGGCGGCUCUGGAGCCAAGAAGGAAUUGAAAGGAGACGAGGAUGGCACUCCGUACCCACUUCCCGGAUACGAGACUAGCUGGCUGGGAUCUGGCGGGACUUUAGGAGAUGGGACACCAGGGCUUUGGUUUGUCCCUGAAACUGGUGGUGCGCCAACUUGUGCCUGGGGAGUGAGAGCUCACCAGGAGACACGGAUGAGCAGAGAGCUGCCGGACGGUAACAGCGAUGAGGCGACGUGACCUGUGGGCAAGCUGCAGCAGCGCUGAUCGGGAGCGGUGAAAACCAGACUCUUGUAUACGCUGCUGCCCUCCUGCCCAGAGACCCAAGGGGCUCUAAUGGCUUGAUUCUCUGGGAGUCUUGAAAGACACUUGAGGAGAGACGGGGAGUUAUUUCAAAGCCUGGAGAGACCAGUACAGAACUUGUCCGCUCCUUUCAGUGGCGGAAACUUGGGGUGUGUUUAUUAGCUUUGAACCAGGAUAGGGGGAGCUGUGUGGCCCAUUCAGGAGGUGGAGAGGCCCUUUCCUGCUGUUCCUCCUGCAUUGAGUCCUCAAGUGAGGUCCUGAAAGGGGGAGGGGGGAGCCCAGAUACCCCCCUCCCCCAGGAGAGAACCAGAGGCCAGGAGUCCACCAGCAACACUGAGCCGACACCAAUCAGCCUAUAUGGGAGGGCCACAUUUCCUGGUACCGCUGAGGGGAGUGAAACCAGCCGAGCCAGCGAGAACUGUGUCGAAACUGCUGUGCGUUAAAACUUCAACAGGACACGGCUCGGUAUGGUGCUGUCCCCUCUGCUCUGUACCAUUGCCCAGAGCGGAUCUGUUUGCUGUUUCUCCCCCCAUCCCGCUCCCCCCUGCGGCUGGAAAUCAGAUACCGGCAGAGAGAGAGAGAGAAGCGAUUAGAGAGGAGAGUUCAUAAUGCUGGACUUGGGUCAUUUGCCUUGUUGAACAGCGACUGGUACAGAGAGGCAAGAGGUUGACACAGCCAGAGUCUAUAACAAGUGGGGUCCUCGAGCCGGAUGCGUGCCCGGACAGAGGGGAGACUGUCUCCUGAGCUAGAGCCUUGAAGCCAGGUUUGACAUUCAGCUGAGGACCGAGAGGGGGUGAAUGUGAAAUCGACACAGCAUCUGGAACCCAGAAGCCCGCCUGCCUUGUUAUCCGAAGAGACAAGGGGUGUGGAGGGAAGCAGAGCCCCUCUCCAAGAGCUCGUGGUGAUGGCGAGAUAACAGCUACUCCGGUAGGAGGAGAACUUUUUAUGGCUGAAACUUUUGCCCUUUCCAGGGAAGGGGAACAAAGAAACUUUUUAGAGACGGAUCUAAAGCACUCAUGACCUUCUAUAAGCUAUAAUUUGUGAUCAGGUGGGUGAGACCACGUCUGCUUCCGUGUGAUUGUGAUCAUGUCAGCUGAGAUCAGGGCUGCAUUGUGCCAGUUGCUGCCUAGACACACACGGAGAGACAGUCCCUGCCCUGGGGAGUUUUCAGACAAGGCAGGAGGGUGGGGGACAGAAUUAUAUCUCCAAUAUGCUUUCCAGGAAGAAGGAAUAUUUAGUGUGUUUUCUCUCCUGUCUCCUUGGCUGGUGUUUCCUUCCCAUCCCAGGAGGGUUGGACAGUGCGAGGAAAAUCUUUCUAGGCUCUGGAAAGCAGCCU
Malaclemys terrapin pileata is the source of this 1679-nucleotide long non-coding RNA. RefSeq lists it as uncharacterized. The record is from RefSeq and is a predicted model, not a curated record. Lineage: Eukaryota; Metazoa; Chordata; Testudines; Emydidae. The transcript has 3 exons.